AAAAACGAAAAUUGAAUCAAACACAAAGUGUCUCUCUAAGUGAGUUUUAAAAUGAAUCUCCAGCAGUCAGAGGCUCCGGAACUCAAAACAUUGAAUGCCUCAAAAAAUAUCUCAACAACGAAAAGUUGGGUACCUCUUAUUGAAAAUUUUACACCAUUUUAGGUGGAAGCAGGAACUCCAAAUUGUGUAAAAUGGAACGGUGGAACUCUGAAAUCUUGAGAUUUUAGUUUUCAAUCUAACUAACGAGGCCUCUCUGUUUGAAAACUUCAAGCAUUGACACACCAAUUUUUGCAGGUGACUCGACCACCGUUACUCCAGCUUCUCGUAGUGUCUUGAUUUUGUCUUGGGCUGUUCCUUUUCCACCUGAGACAAUGGC
This 376-nucleotide long non-coding RNA is filed under the name Cucumis sativus (cucumber). RNAcentral's name for it is "long non-coding RNA (CSAT_LNC000075)". The record is from RNAcentral. Lineage: Eukaryota; Viridiplantae; Streptophyta; Magnoliopsida; Cucurbitales; Cucurbitaceae.